This 431-nucleotide ribosomal RNA is filed under the name Porphyromonas gingivalis. RNAcentral's name for it is "bacterial SSU rRNA". It matches the Rfam family "Bacterial small subunit ribosomal RNA", at positions 28 to 450 of the family's 1533-position model. The record is from RNAcentral. Lineage: Bacteria; Pseudomonadati; Bacteroidota; Bacteroidia; Bacteroidales; Porphyromonadaceae.
GAUGAACGCUAGCGAUAGGCUUAACACAUGCAAGUCGAGGGGCAGCAUGAUCUUAGCUUGCUAAGGUCGAUGGCGACCGGCGCACGGGUGCGUAACGCGUAUGCAACUUGCCUUACAGAGGGGGAUAACCCGUUGAAAGACGGACUAAAACCGCAUACACUGUAUUAUUGCAUGAUAUUACAAGGAAAUAUUUAUAGCUGUAAGAUAGGCAUGCGUCCCAUUAGCUGGUUGGUGAGGUAACGGCUCACCAAGGCGACGAUGGGUAGGGGAACUGAGAGGUUUAUCCCCCACACUGGUACUGAGACACGGACCAGACUCCUACGGGAGGCAGCAGUGAGGAAUAUUGGUCAAUGGGCGAGAGCCUGAACCAGCCAAGUCGCGUGAAGGAAGACAGUCCUAAGGAUUGUAAACUUCUUUUAUACGGGAAUAAC